UACAUGCACGCUGUGCUAUCCCAUGAUGCCCCGCGAGAGAAUUCAUGAACGCAACUGACGCAGGUAGGUCACCUGACCAUGACAAAAUGGCGGAUGUAGUACGUCCGUAUUUCAGUCACACUGCUCACAUUCAUACUGUGUAGAACGUACUUUUCUAACGGCUAAGUAGUACGUUUAAAUUCAAAUGCAGUACCUAUAGUAGUAGGCGGUUUCGAACGCAGCCUAAGUGUAGAAGCGGCCAUACUCUAACCGCUGCUGUUUUCUGUGUUAUAUUUCAUCUUCAACAGCAAUACUGAACUUAUAUAAAGACGUGUUUGGUCAUUAACGUCUGAAUGCAGAAUUAUCCAAACACCUGAGGAGAUUUCUCUGCAUGGAAGACUCGUGAAUGGGAGAUUAACCUGCUGCUGCCGCUUCUCCAAUAAGAGCGGGUCGUGGGGGCAGCAGUCUUAUGAGAGAACCCCAGACACUCUCCCUCUCCCCAGACACUUCCUCCAGCUCCUCCGGGGGGAUCCCAAGGCAUUUCCAGGCCAACGAGAGACAUAGUCCCUCCAGCGUGUCCUGGGUCUUCCCUGAGGCCUCCUCCCGGUGGGACAUGCCUGGAACACCUCCCUAGGACCGCAAACGUCUGCAGAGAGGGGUGAGGACUGCAGGAGAUCAUCAGGACCUGCAGACUAUCUACCAUCGCACAGUCCACAAGAGAGCUGCCUCCAUCCUGAAACAACACAGAAUAUUCACACUCCUAACCUCAGGGCGGAGGUAUAGGAGUGUGAGAUGCAGGACUGCCAGACUCAAGAACUCCUUUUUCCCAUCAGCUUUCAGACUUAGGAUAACGGAUAACCAGUGGACAUAAACAGUGUCAUUCUUUGCUCAGUAGCACACUAUAUUCUCCAUCCCAGUUUGCACUAUUAAUGCAUACAACCGCACUCGAUCUGCUCCAGCCAUUAUACUGUUGUUUGCUCAUAAGCCAAUUGCACUAGGCACAUUUUGCAUAUUAAGCACAAUUUUAAGAACUACUAUACAUUGUUUACACCUGUUUACAUUACUCCA
Molecule: long non-coding RNA, 1047 nt
Organism: Danio aesculapii
Lineage: Eukaryota; Metazoa; Chordata; Actinopteri; Cypriniformes; Danionidae
Exons: 3
Source: RefSeq, a predicted model, not a curated record